Molecule: ribosomal RNA, 497 nt
Filed under: uncultured bacterium
Lineage: Bacteria
Description: partial 16S ribosomal RNA
Rfam family: Bacterial small subunit ribosomal RNA
Source: RNAcentral
GACGAACGCUGGCGGCGUGCCUAAUACAUGCAAGUAGAACGCUGAAGAGAGGAGCUUGCUCUUCUUGGAUGAGUUGCGAACGGGUGAGUAACGCGUAGGUAACCUGCCUUGUAGCGGGGGAUAACUAUUGGAAACGAUAGCUAAUACCGCAUAACAAUGGAUGACACAUGUCAUUUAUUUGAAAGGGGCAAUUGCUCCACUACAAGAUGGACCUGCGUUGUAUUAGCUAGUAGGUGAGGUAAUGGCUCACCUAGGCGACGAUACAUAGCCGACCUGAGAGGGUGAUCGGCCACACUGGGACUGAGACACGGCCCAGACGCCUACGGGAGGCAGCAGGAGGGAAUCUUCGGCAAUGGGGGCAACCCUGACCGAGCAACGCCGCGUGAGUGAAGAAGGGUUUCGGACCGUAAAGCUCUGUUGUAAGUCAAGAACGGGUGUGAGAGUGGAAAGUUCACACUGUGACGGUAGCUUACCAGAAAGGGACGGCUAACUACGUG